GGAGAUGGCUGAGAUGCGAAGAAAGGCCGAGGAGGCCGCUCAGAAAAAUGAGCAAGAGCUGCAAGUUCUCCGCAGGGAGAACGAAGAUAUGAGAAAGAAGCUGGGGGAGGGAGGACCCUCUGUCAUACCGACGAACGUGGUCGGCAAGUCCUACACCUCUCCCCCCAACCCGGAUGUGGCCGAGGGGACGAGAGGCCGACCCCCUCCCCGCGAGACUGAAAUGGGCGACGAGUCGUGCCUAAUGAG
This 246-nucleotide long non-coding RNA is filed under the name Phaseolus vulgaris (common bean). RNAcentral's name for it is "long non-coding RNA (PVUL_LNC003367)". Lineage: Eukaryota; Viridiplantae; Streptophyta; Magnoliopsida; Fabales; Fabaceae. The record is from RNAcentral.